GUGUCAGCAGCCGCGGUAAUACAGAGGUCUCAAGCGUUGUUCGGAAUUAUUGGGCGUAAAGGGUGCGUAGGCGGUUCGGUCAGUUGGGUGUGAAAAGUCGAGGCUCAACCUCGAAAUUGCACCCAAUACUACCGGGCUAGAGUACUGCAUAGGAAGCUGGAACUUACGGUGUAGCAGUGAAAUGCGUAGAUAUCGUAAAGAAGACCAGAGGCGAAAGCGAGCUUCUAGGCAGUUACUGACGCUCAUGCACGAAAGCCAAGGUAGCAAACGGGAUUAGAUACCCGCGUAGUCC
Molecule: ribosomal RNA, 292 nt
Filed under: uncultured bacterium
Lineage: Bacteria
Description: partial 16S ribosomal RNA
Rfam family: Bacterial small subunit ribosomal RNA
Source: RNAcentral